Molecule: ribosomal RNA, 178 nt
Filed under: uncultured Glomeromycotina
Lineage: Eukaryota; Fungi; Glomeromycota
Description: partial 18S ribosomal RNA
Rfam family: Eukaryotic small subunit ribosomal RNA
Source: RNAcentral
CAGAGGUGAAAUUCUUCGGAUUUAUUCGAAGACUAACUACUCGCGAAAGCAUUUGCCAAGGAUGUUUUCAUUAAUCAAGAACGAAAGUUAGGGGAUCGAAGACGAUCAGAUACCGUCGUAGUCUUAACCAUAAACUAUGCCGACUAGGGAUCGGAUGAUGUUAAUUUUUAAUGACUCA